ACAGAGGUGCCAAGCGUUAGGCGGAAUCACUGGGCUUAAAGCGUGUGUAGGCGGGUCGUUAAGUACCUUGUGAAAUCCCACGGCUCAACCGUGGAACUGCUUGGUAUACUGGCGAUCUUGAGCCAGCUAGGGGCUACCGGAACAAACGGUGGAGCGGUGAAAUGCGUAGAUAUCGUUUGGAACGCCAAUGGUGAAAACAGGUAGCUGGGGCUGUGCUGACGCUGAGACACGAAAGCCAGGGGAGCGAACGGGA
This 253-nucleotide ribosomal RNA is filed under the name uncultured prokaryote. RNAcentral describes it as "partial 16S ribosomal RNA". It matches the Rfam family "Bacterial small subunit ribosomal RNA", at positions 525 to 777 of the family's 1533-position model. The record is from RNAcentral.